This 301-nucleotide ribosomal RNA is filed under the name uncultured bacterium. RNAcentral's name for it is "partial 16S ribosomal RNA". It matches the Rfam family "Bacterial small subunit ribosomal RNA", at positions 509 to 807 of the family's 1533-position model. The record is from RNAcentral.
CAGUAGCCACGGUAAAACGAAGGGUGCAAGCGUUAAUCGGAAUUACUGGGCGUAAAGCGUGCGUAGGCGGUUUGUUAAGUCUGCUGUGAAAUCCCCGGGCUCAACCUGGGAAUGGCAGUGGAUACUGGCAAGCUAGAGUGUGUCAGAGGAUGGUGGAAUUCCCGGUGUAGCGGUGAAAUGCGUAGAGAUCGGGAGGAACAUCAGUGGCGAAGGCGGCCAUCUGGGACAACACUGACGCUGAGGCACGAAAGCGUGGGGAGCAAACAGGAUUAGAUACCCCUGUAGUCCCUGUCUCUUAUAC